UACUUUGCUGACGAGCGGCGGACGGGUGAGUAAUGCUUGGGAACAUGCCUUAAGGUGGGGGACAACAGUUGGAAACGACUGCUAAUACCGCAUAACGUCUACGGACCAAAGGGGGCUUCGGCUCUCGCCUUUAGAUUGGCCCAAGUGGGAUUAGCUAGUUGGUGAGGUAAUGGCUCACCAAGGCAACGAUCCCUAGCUGGUUUGAGAGGAUGAUCAGCCACACUGGAACUGAGACACGGUCCAGACUCCUACGGGAGGCACCANUGGGGAAUAUUGCACAAUGGGCGAAAGCCUGAUGCANCCAUGCCGCGUGUGUGAAAAAGGCCUUCGGGUUGUAAAGCACUUUCAGUCAGGAGGAAAGGUUAACGGUUAAUACCCGUUAGCUGUGACGUUACUGACAGAANAAGCACCGGCUAACUCCGUGCCAGCAGCCCNAGGUANUACGGAGGGUGCNAGCGUUAAUCCGCAAUUACUUGGGCNNUAAAGCGUUCCGCAAGCCGGUUUGUCCUUGGGGGGAGCCAAA
RNAcentral lists this ribosomal RNA (523 nucleotides) under marine gamma proteobacterium SWAT1. RNAcentral describes it as "bacterial SSU rRNA". It matches the Rfam family "Bacterial small subunit ribosomal RNA", at positions 81 to 599 of the family's 1533-position model. Lineage: Bacteria; Pseudomonadati; Pseudomonadota; Gammaproteobacteria. The record is from RNAcentral.